RNAcentral lists this ribosomal RNA (1413 nucleotides) under Nostocaceae cyanobacterium CENA388. RNAcentral describes it as "bacterial SSU rRNA". It matches the Rfam family "Bacterial small subunit ribosomal RNA". Lineage: Bacteria; Bacillati; Cyanobacteriota; Cyanophyceae; Nostocales; Nostocaceae. The record is from RNAcentral.
GAUGAACGCUGGCGGUAUGCUUAACACAUGCAAGUCGAACGGUGUCUUCGGACACAGUGGCGGACGGGUGAGUAACGCGUGAGAAUCUGGCUUCAGGUCGGGGACAACCACUGGAAACGGUGGCUAAUACCGGAUGUGCCGCAAGGUAAAAGGCUUGCUGCCUGAAGAUGAGCUCGCGUCUGAUUAGCUAGUAGGUGGGGUAAGAGCCUACCUAGGCGACGAUCAGUAGCUGGUCUGAGAGGACGAUUAGCCACACUGGGACUGAGACACGGCCCAGACUCCUACGGGAGGCAGCAGUGGGGAAUUUUCCGCAAUGGGCGAAAGCCUGACGGAGCAAUACCGCGUGAGGGAGGAAGGCUCUUGGGUCGUAAACCUCUUUUCUCAGGGAAUAAGAAAGUGAAGGUACCUGAGGAAUCAGCAUCGGCUAACUCCGUGCCAGCAGCCGCGGUAAUACGGAGGAUGCAAGCGUUAUCCGGAAUGAUUGGGCGUAAAGCGUCCGCAGGUGGCUGUGUAAGUCUGCUGUUAAAGAGUGAGGCUCAACCUCAUAAAAGCAGUGGAAACUACACGGCUAGAGUGCGUUCGGGGCAGAGGGAAUUCCUGGUGUAGCGGUGAAAUGCGUAGAUAUCAGGAAGAACACCGGUGGCGAAAGCGCUCUGCUAGGCCGCAACUGACACUGAGGGACGAAAGCUAGGGGAGCGAAUGGGAUUAGAUACCCCAGUAGUCCUAGCCGUAAACGAUGGAUACUAGGCGUGGCUUGUAUCGACCCGAGCCGUGCCGUAGCUAACGCGUUAAGUAUCCCGCCUGGGGAGUACGCACGCAAGUGUGAAACUCAAAGGAAUUGACGGGGGCCCGCACAAGCGGUGGAGUAUGUGGUUUAAUUCGAUGCAACGCGAAGAACCUUACCAAGACUUGACAUGUCGCGAAUCCUGCUGAAAGGUGGGAGUGCCUUCGGGAGCGCGAACACAGGUGGUGCAUGACUGUCGUCAGCUCGUGUCGUGAGAUGUUGGGUUAAGUCCCGCAACGAGCGCAACCCUCGUUUUUAGUUGCCAGCAUUAAGUUGGGCACUCUAGAGAGACUGCCGGUGACAAACCGGAGGAAGGUGGGGAUGACGUCAAGUCAGCAUGCCCCUUACGUCUUGGGCUACACACGUACUACAAUGCUACGGACAGAGGGCAGCAAGCUAGCGAUAGCAAGCAAAUCCCGUAAACCGUAGCUCAGUUCAGAUCGCAGGCUGCAACUCGCCUGCGUGAAGGAGGAACCGCUAGUAAUUGCAGGUCAGCAUACUGCAGUGAAUUCGUUCCCGGGCCUUGUACACACCGCCCGUCACACCAUGGAAGCUGGCAACGCCCGAAGUCAUUACUCCAACCUUUCGGGGGGGAGGAUGCCUAAGGCAGUGCUGGUGACUGGGGUGAA